This 458-nucleotide ribosomal RNA is filed under the name uncultured bacterium. RNAcentral describes it as "partial 16S ribosomal RNA". It matches the Rfam family "Bacterial small subunit ribosomal RNA", at positions 338 to 795 of the family's 1533-position model. The record is from RNAcentral.
CCUACGGGGGGCAGCAGUGGGGAAUAUUGCACAAUGGGGGAAACCCUGAUGCAGCGACGCCGCGUGAGUGAAGAAGCGUUUCGGCGCGUAAAGCUCUGUCAGCGGGGAAGAAACACGGUUCGCGAGAGCCGCGGACGGUACCCGACCAAGAAGCCCCGGCUAACUACGUGCCAGCAGCCGCGGUAAUACGUAGGGGGCAAGCGUUAUCCGGAUUCACUGGGUGUAAAGGGAGCGUAGACGGUAAUGCAAGUCUGGAGUGAAAGGCGGGGGCCCAACCCCCGGACUGCUCUGGAAACUGUGUAACUGGAGUGCAGGAGAGGCAGGCGGAAUGCCUAGUGUAGCGGUGAAAUGCGUAGAUAUUAGGAGGAACACCAGUGGCGAAGGCGGCCUGCUGGACUGUAACUGACGUUGAGGCUCGAAAGCGUGGGGAGCAAACAGGAUUAGAUACCCCAGUAGUC